UAAUUGUUACAGGCCUCUUGAUUCUAUUCUGGGUCAUCACUGUCCAAAGGUAAAGAAGAGAAUGAGCAUGGACUUUGGAACUUUCCUAACCUAACCAAGUAAGUUUGAGUUGUAGCACAAAAUAACAUAGUCUCUGAAUCUUGAGCCCUGUGCUAACUCCUCAAAAAAGCUCUGAGGUUUGUGUGAGAGUUUGUACUGGCCAUUUGAGAAAAGGGCUGGACUUUGGAGGAAGCCUUGAGAACACUCUGACUCUGAAGAAAAUUAAGCAAGCAUUACGUCUGGGAAAAAGAUGAAAGAAAAAAAGCCUGAAGGCCUCGUGAGCCAUUCAUGGAGAGACGGAUCCUUCUGGCAUAGGGGUCACCAUGAACUGGUGGAGAAAAUUCAAGAAACAAAAGAACAGACGCUGUCUCCUCCAUCAGAUCCAGAUGCUUCUUGAUGCCGAACCUCUCAAAAGGGGCUCAGAAUUCUUCCCAAUAACUGAGGCAACUGGUGAGACAAUUUCAACAAAAGAGCAAGACGCAUGUUAAAGGUCACCCCAAGGUCCAAGAUGCCUGCUGCAACUCCAACAACACAACCAUCUUCUAGCAAUUAAGAAAGAGGAUACUUCUAGAAGUUGCACAAUCUUCUGUUUCCAUCCAUUUGCUCAGAACCUAGCCAAAUGUUUAUCUGUGUCUGCAAGGAAUGCUGAAAAGUGUGAUAUUUAUCUUGGUUAGCCAUAUAUCUAGCUGAAAAGGGUUCUGUUAUGAUGGCUCAGAUGAGAAGUUGGUGUAAGAGCAAGAAAUGUUGUUUACUACAUAGUGGGAUGGAAAUUUUAAGGGAAAGAAAAAAACAAAGUAAAAACUCACAUUCAUCACAACUGAGAUGGGAAUGAAUGGAUAGAAAAUCUUCACAGCCAAGAACACAGUAAGUAAAGCAAGCAGACAGCCCUCAGACUGGGAGAAGAUAUUUGCAGGAUAUGUCUCCAACAAAGGUUUAUUUAAUAACCACAAUCCACAGAGAACUCAAAUGUAUAAGCAAGAGAAGCACAAGUAAUCCCAUCACAGGCUGGGCAAGGGACUUGAAGAGAAACUUCUUUGAAGAAGACAUGCUCAUGGCCUACAGACAUAUGAAAUAAUGCUCAUCAUCCUUAAUCAUCAGAGAAAUGCAAAUCAAAACUACCUUGAGAUACCAUCUAACUCCAGUAAGAUUAGCCCAUAUCACAAAAUCCCAAGACCAGAGAUGUUGGCGUGAAUGUGGAGAAAAGGGAACACUUCUACACUGCUGGUGGGAAUGUAAAUUAAUACAUUCCUUCUGGAAAGAUGUUUGGAGAACACUUAGA
This is a long non-coding RNA of Nycticebus coucang (slow loris), 1318 nucleotides long. RefSeq lists it as uncharacterized. The record is from RefSeq and is a predicted model, not a curated record. NCBI's taxonomy places the organism in Eukaryota, Metazoa, Chordata, Mammalia, Primates, Lorisidae. The transcript is spliced from 4 exons.